UUCCUGUGUCCCUUGACAUAUUGCUUUCAUAUUUUGCAUACUUGUUAACCAUCAUGACGGCCCCUUUUAUACUUGAUAAUUGAACAUUUGCUUAAAUUGCCAUAACUUCUUUAUUUAUGAUCAGAUUUUAUUAAUACUUUGACAAAAAAACACUUACCUGAAUACCACAAUGGAUUCCACCCAAACAAAACUCCACGCCCGAAAAAAUUGUUUUUCCUAUUUUUAUUUUUGAAAGAUCAUCUAAUAAAUUAUUGAAUAUGAACAAUUUCCCCAUGAUGGCUUUCGUUAUACUGUCAAGCACUCGAAUAGUCAAGCGCGCUGUCCUCUUACAGCUCUUGUUAGAUAUCUUGGCAUAAAUGUUAACAAUCAUCAGACAACCUAUUUGUCUCCUUUCCUCAAAGGUCAAGGUAUCACUUAGAGGUCAAAGGUCAAAUCAUGCCACAAAACACCUUGUCAGGUCUGUUUCCUUGUCAUUCAUCAUGAAUUUUUUUUAAACUUACCACACAUAACCACCUUAUGGAGGCAGUGUGUCUUGUGUAUCACCCAUCUCCUUACUCUCAACAGACAUACUUAGGGUUAUAAGGCAAAUUUAACGAUAAAAUGUCUUGGAGUUUUAAAGGAAAGGUGGAUUUGGUAGCAUCUAUGCCAAAUGGAAACAGGUCUGGUUCACAAUGUAUUUCCUCAUUUGUUUACCAUAAACAACCAUAAACAACAUGUCACAUGUUUGUUAAGCUCCAAUGAAAUCAUGUUGUUAAAAAACACACUUGUGUUUUAUUCUUCUUUGCACAUUUAACCAUACUACACAAGCAAUCUUCCCUUAUUCUAACACUGUACUGUGUUAAAACUGAAUUUCCAUAAUUUGCAAAGAGCGCAUAAGUUUAUAUGUUAAACUGUCAUAUUUCGUGCUGUUGCAAAUCUUCUGUCAAACCAUUAAAAAAGUUGAUAUUUUGUCAGGUCCUCUCAGGUGUGGAGAGAUUUUCGUUUGAUAUUAUUAGUUGUCUAGUCAAUGUUUUUCGUCAUGUAGGUUGUAAAAUUUUCUCACAGUGGUUCAUAUACACAUAUUUUCGAAUUGUAUGCCAUUAAUCGUAUGAAUUCCUACCUGAUGUUUGAUUGUCAUGGCUUUUUGACUUGUUAAUUACCUGAUAUUAUUUGGCUCACGAGUAUUGUGGAUUUCUCCACCACACACAGACAUUUUAAAUGGCUUGUAAAUAAUGUGUUUUUCCAAUGUUGUUUGAUGUUGAAGUUGUCAUACCUGCACUUCAAUCAAAAUUAUUUUUUCAAAGAUAAAAGUAAAAUACUAUUAAAUUGUAUAAGAAACCAUAAUAUGACGGAUGUCCUCAAUAUCUUUAACUCUUUCUUAGCAGAUUACAAGUUGAAAUUGUUUCCUGUUACUUGUUUUAAUCUUACAACCAUGUAUCAUCUACUUUUCACAGUCCGGUAUACAUUUUGUUUGAAGUGCAUAUUCAAUAGGUAUGUUAUAGAUUCACAGAGAAGUAACUCUGUGCAAAACACUGCACAAAUACCUCAGUCUGUAUAGUGUGUUAUUUGCAAAAAAAUUAAAUGAACAUUGGUUCAAAAAAUUUCUAUAACUAUGUUUCACUGUUCGUUUGGUUGGAGGAAGCGAAGUAGAUGUGAUUGUUUUGUUGUCUGCUGCAACAGAAGUACCAAAGAAAAUGCUAUGUACCAGUAGUAGUUUUACAGAAAAUAUAAGUAUCAGUACUUCAAGGGUAGCCUGAUCAGCUAUUGUUGUUAAUGCAAGAUUUUAGUAUCCUGCAGUUUAUGAAAUUAUUUGGUAAAUACAUGUGUUGUAUACAGUCCCUAUAUUAAUUAUUUGAACUGCAUUCUGUAAAACCUGGUCUUAAUGCAUAUGCUUAAAGUGUUGUUGCAGUCUGAACAGGCUAACCGGGGACAACACUUCCCACCUAAACUUGAUUUACUUUAGAUUAUGUAUAAGAGACGUUCUUUAAACGGAAAAUACCAUAACCCUUUCCCACUCAGAAGCAAAGUGAACAUGGCUCUGUGCAAACAGCAUAAAACCAGAACAGCCUGUGAAUAACUCGCAGACUGUUCAGGUUUUAUGCUGUUUGCUGCUCAUCAGUAUCUUAGGGUUGCAAAUGAAGCUUUUGAAAGUUGAAUCUAGUAAGAAAGGUCUUAAAUUAAAUGUAACGUUUGAAGGGACUCCAAAUGCGUCAAAAUACGUAUCUAAGUGGUAAAGGGUCAAAUGCAGAAAGUUUCGUAAAUGACAACACUUUACGCACAUGCAUCUAAUCCGGUUUUCCCAGUACGAGGCUCAAUUUUAUGUCGGAAUGAAGGCUUGAUCAGGAUAAUAAGUCUUGUAAAAUGUACUGUUAUUGUAGACAGUAAGGAUUCAUGUAAUCCAUGACCAUGUUUGUCUCUGGUUAAAGUAGCUUAUUGGUAAACUGGCAUGAACAAUCUUGAUCUUGUUGUGUACAUAUUUGAGAAAUGUUGCUCUUGCCUACAAACGUUGGCUUUCACAUGGUUUGCACUGUUCUCAUUUUAUUUAUUGCAUCAGGUCUCAUUCUUUUUGUUUGUGGCAGUUUAUCCACAAUUAAUUGUUUUGUAUGUAUUGUUAGAAUUGAUGGAGAGAAUGAAUUCCAACUGUGUUUAUGUAAAUAAGGAAUACUGAAAAUGUAAAUAAGUUAUUUGUAAAUUCCAACACCCAUCUUAUACUAUGUUAAAUUUUUAUUUGUCAAUAAAAUUUAUUGAGCUUAGUAAAUAUAAAUAUUUUCGAGGUCUUUACCUGUCUGCAGUGGUUUACAAUUGUUGUUUUCUUUUAUUUGUUUGGUACUGGUAAUUCUUAAGUAGUUAUUUCGAUAUAUUCAUCUUAAGAAUGGUGAAUAAUUAAUGAUUAAUUUAUAGUGAAUGCAAACUGGUGCAAAAGUAAGUUACAUCGACCUUUAAGUAAAGGAGCAUUCACGUAUUGAGGAUUAAGUGUGAAGCUAUCAUAUGUUGUAGAGAAAGUUACAGCAGAUACUAGAGUUUCGUGCUCAACCCUCAAACGGUGUAUUGAAAUUAUUGUGAUUGAUCAUGCAAUAGUUCACAAAUCUUAGCUUUUGAAGAUAUGGUUUCAUUUUCAAUUCACAUUUUACCAAAGUUUCGAUGAAGGUCAGAAGGUUAGGCCUUUGUAAUGGCAAUUACCAGCAAUUGAAGCUGGUACCCUUAGUCCAGACAGUUUAUUGUGUUGCUCUGUUAUUGAAGGCAUAAUUAUGACAAGCAAAUACUUUCUUCAAUAUGCAUAGCUGCCAGAGAAGCACAUAUCUUUUCGAAGCAGGGAAGUAUUAUAAUGGUAUAUACCAAUAAUGUAUAAGUACUGUAAAAUGCCGUGUCAGUGUUAUGUCAUUCGCAUUAUAUGCUUUAUUUUAUCAGCAUACCAUCAGAUGUAUGGUGUAAAUGGUUACAAAGUAUGAUGAGUUUGUUGUUGGCAUGCAUUAUUUCAGUGAAGGAUAUAAAUAAAAAUGAUAUUGAAUGUUCAUGUAUGUAUUUGUUUUGUCAGUGUUAUGGAUAAUGGGUCUAAAGGGAGAUAUCUAGGGUCACAAAAAGUACAGGGUGUGCAAAAAAGGAGCAGGGUGUAUAGUUGGACCAUUUUGGUGACAUUUUCUAGUAUAUUUCUAAAUCCAAGAAAUUUCUCUAAGUCCUACACUGGUAAUUAAGGGUUUUAAACAAGUCAUGAUCCACCUGGACUAGAUUUUAAAUUAAGAAGAGAAAAAAAUAUUUCCCACACCAGCCUGCGCAGACUGCACAGGCUUCUCUGGGAAUAAAGUGUCUGUGCAUGCAUUAACCUUUCAGUGCUGGAACCGAAUUUUAAAGGUCCUUGCAAACACUGUUUGCUAUUGUGAUAGUAUUCUUUGAAAAACAAUCGAAGAAAAUGUUAAUUUUAGACAUUCAGCAGACGACAUCUAAGCAGACGACAAAUUUCCCAGCAUGCAAAGGGUUAAGCCUUGUUUUCCCAGAGUGAGGUUCAUUUUUAAUCCAUUAGUAAAGAUUUUCACAGUUUUUGUGGUGAUUGUUCCAGAGGGACCGGAAGGGAAACACCCUGUUAUUUAGCUCUAGAUUUUCCCUAGUCUAUAUAAAUCUGAAAUAUGAUAAGAUGGUGAAGAUUGAAUAAAUAUUUUUAAACCAAAAAAA
This is a long non-coding RNA of Dreissena polymorpha, 4146 nucleotides long. RefSeq lists it as uncharacterized. The transcript has 2 exons. Lineage: Eukaryota; Metazoa; Mollusca; Bivalvia; Myida; Dreissenidae. The record is from RefSeq and is a predicted model, not a curated record.